Molecule: ribosomal RNA, 510 nt
Filed under: Triticum aestivum (bread wheat)
Lineage: Eukaryota; Viridiplantae; Streptophyta; Magnoliopsida; Poales; Poaceae
Description: partial small subunit ribosomal RNA
Source: RNAcentral
AUGGUGACAACUGCUGGAGACGCUGGAGCGUGUGAAGGGCCGACCGUGGAAGGCGGCAUCGUCGGACAUGUUGCGGUCGACAUCGACAGGUCGGCGGUGACGGCUGAUCGGCAGGGGCAGGUUGGAACCGGGAGCGGCUGCAGAAUUUGCCAGCUUGAGGACGGCGACCUGCCGGCGGAGAGCGGGAGCGGGCAGUUGGUAAACCUCGGCUGCGGCUGCCGAGGCGAGAUCGCGGCGGCGCACCGGCGGUGCGCCGAGGCAUGGUUCUCCGUGAGGGGCAACAGGCGGUGCGAGAUCUGCGGCGAGAACGCGGCGAACAUCACUGGAUGGGGCGGCGGCGGCAAGGAGUUCAUGCGGCAGUGGCAUGGGAUGGCGAGCGUGGAUGGAGGAGGCUCAUCCAAGGCCAGGGGUCUCUGCACCUGCAGAACCCAGUCAUUCUGCAAUUUCUUGCUUGCGUGUUUGAUCAUUGUAUUAAUCUCGUCGUGGUUCUUCCAUAAUCGUAUGGUUUGA